Molecule: long non-coding RNA, 523 nt
Organism: Centropristis striata (black sea bass)
Lineage: Eukaryota; Metazoa; Chordata; Actinopteri; Perciformes; Serranidae
Exons: 2
Source: RefSeq, a predicted model, not a curated record
UGUUUCCCCUGGAAACAUCUGGAAACAUCUGGUUAAACCAUCUGACCGGCUGUGUGUAAGGCUCCGUUUACAUGAUGACGGUCUGAACAGAAGACGCAAAAGUGGCGUCUCGUCUUCACUUUUUAUUCCUGGUUUAGACGAGCGUUUUCAGGAGGAAAUCUGCUGAUACGGUGAUCUAAAGUGUGUGAAUGUGAUUGUAUGCAGCCAGGCGGCAUCACUUAAAGCCAUAAGAGCAUCUUUGGGCAUGCAGAAGUUUUCACGCCACACAUUUUCAUCAGCUACUCCUUCCACAAAGUUCUCCUCCAUCACUAGAUCUCCCAGGUCUCGUUCACAGCCGUCUGGCUCCUCCCACCAAUCGCUGCAUCCAGAAUGUGACGGAGGUAAUUCCAGAUCCUUCUCUGUUCACUAAUACUAUCUGUACAUAUCCUGGACAUUUGGUGGAAAGACUCCUGUAAGUUUAUUAGAGCUGCCAGAGCAGCUUGAAGGUCCCACCAUGGAAAUAAUCCCACGUUUCUUUAUUUCC